RNAcentral lists this ribosomal RNA (465 nucleotides) under uncultured bacterium. RNAcentral's name for it is "partial 16S ribosomal RNA". It matches the Rfam family "Bacterial small subunit ribosomal RNA", at positions 28 to 507 of the family's 1533-position model. The record is from RNAcentral.
GAUGAACGCUGGCGGCGUGCUUAACACAUGCAAGUCGAACGGAAAGGCUCCUGCUUGCUGGGGUACUCGAGUGGCGAACGGGUGAGUAACACGUGGGUGAUCUGCCCUGCACUUCGGGCUAAGCCUGGGACACUGGGUCUAAUACCGGAUAGGACGAUGGUUUGGAUGCCAUUGUGGAAAGUUUUUCGGUGUGGGUUGAGCUCGCGGCCUAUGAGCUGGUUGGUGGGGUAAUGGCCUACCAAGGCGUCGACGGGUAGCCGGCCUGAGAGGGUGUACGGCCACAUUGGGACUAAGAUACGGCCCAGACUCCUACGGGAGGCAGCAGUAGGGAAUAUUGCACAAUGAGCGCAAGCCGGAUGCAGCGACGCCGCGUGGGGGAUGACGGCCUUCGGGUUGUAGACACCUUUCGCUAGGGACGAAGCGCAAGUGACGGUACCUGGAGAAGAAGCACCGGCUAACUACGUG